UUUAUGGAGAGUUUGAUCCUGGCUCAGGAUGAACGCUGGCGGCGUGCCUAAUACAUGCAAGUCGAGCGAACGGACGAGAAGCUUGCUUCUCUGAUGUUAGCGGCGGACGGGUGAGUAACACGUGGAUAACCUACCUAUAAGACUGGGAUAACUUCGGGAAACCGGAGCUAAUACCGGAUAAUAUUUUGAACCGCAUGGUUCAAAAGUGAAAGACGGUCUUGCUGUCACUUAUAGAUGGAUCCGCGCUGCAUUAGCUAGUUGGUAAGGUAACGGCUUACCAAGGCAACGAUGCAUAGCCGACCUGAGAGGGUGAUCGGCCACACUGGAACUGAGACACGGUCCAGACUCCUACGGGAGGCAGCAGUAGGGAAUCUUCCGCAAUGGGCGAAAGCCUGACGGAGCAACGCCGCGUGAGUGAUGAAGGUCUUCGGAUCGUAAAACUCUGUUAUUAGGGAAGAACAUAUGUGUAAGUAACUGUGCACAUCUUGACGGUACCUAAUCAGAAAGCCACGGCUAACUACGUGCCAGCAGCCGCGGUAAUACGUAGGUGGCAAGCGUUAUCCGGAAUUAUUGGGCGUAAAGCGCGCGUAGGCGGUUUUUUAAGUCUGAUGUGAAAGCCCACGGCUCAACCGUGGAGGGUCAUUGGAAACUGGAAAACUUGAGUGCAGAAGAGGAAAGUGGAAUUCCAUGUGUAGCGGUGAAAUGCGCAGAGAUAUGGAGGAACACCAGUGGCGAAGGCGACUUUCUGGUCUGUAACUGACGCUGAUGUGCGAAAGCGUGGGGAUCAAACAGGAUUAGAUACCCUGGUAGUCCACGCCGUAAACGAUGAGUGCUAAGUGUUAGGGGGUUUCCGCCCCUUAGUGC
This 864-nucleotide ribosomal RNA is filed under the name Staphylococcus aureus. RNAcentral describes it as "bacterial SSU rRNA". It matches the Rfam family "Bacterial small subunit ribosomal RNA", at positions 1 to 846 of the family's 1533-position model. The record is from RNAcentral. Lineage: Bacteria; Bacillati; Bacillota; Bacilli; Caryophanales; Staphylococcaceae.